This 1231-nucleotide long non-coding RNA is filed under the name Nicotiana tabacum (common tobacco). RNAcentral's name for it is "long non-coding RNA (NTAB_LNC013360)". Lineage: Eukaryota; Viridiplantae; Streptophyta; Magnoliopsida; Solanales; Solanaceae. The record is from RNAcentral.
UGGAAGUGCUCUCUUAUUUUACGAUUCUUCUUCACAAUGAAACCUUGAGUGCCAGUUGAAGUAGUAUAUGGACUGCAUAUCGACAUGAAAAGGUUAAGAGUUCAUCCUAGUUGGGCUGGUUCAUGAUAUUUGUAGUUCGGCUCAGAAGCCCAAGUGCAAUUUUUCUCAAGAACAUCAUAUGGAUUUUUCCCUACUCCAGGUAUGUUAAGGCUAUCCCUUCUUUCUUUUGGCAUGAUCCAUACGAUAUGAACAAAACCUACAAAUGCACAAAUUCUAUAAGUGACUCUACUCAUAGAAGUAAUAGAAAUACCUAUGUUCUUUAAUUCCCAUGUGUCAUAAUAUUUUAUCAUCUGUUCAUGGAUCUCAGAAAAAUAUGAAAGUUGAAAAGAUGUUACUUUAUGAUAUUGCUUAAGAGGCAAAAUGGUCUUAUGAUAUUCCGAAAGAUUUUAUUACGUAAUUUUCAUGCAUUUCAUACAUGUGCAUUGACCCAUGAUCAGAUGGUGUUAUAUAUGCAUAUAUAUGUAAAUAUAUGUAUAUGGGAUAUAGGAAAAGGUUACGGCGUUAUAUACGCACCACCACCUGAUCAGCUGGUAUAUUAUGAUGAUGUUGCCCACAGUGGCUGAAAUAUGAUUCAAACGGCGUUAUAUAUGCGUAUAUAUGUAAAUAUGAUUCAAACGGCGUUAUAUAUGCAUAUAUAUCUAUGUAUAUAUAUGUAUAUGGGAUAUGAGAAAGGUUAUGGCGUUAUAUAUGCACCACCACCUGAUAAGUUGGUAUACGAUGAUGAUUUUGCCCACAGUGGCCGAUAUGAUAUGAUGGGAUGCCCUCAGAGGUUGAUGAUGUUAUGAAACAUGUACCUAUGCACGAUAUGCAUGAUACUAAAAGUAAUUUAUGAUUUACAAAGUUAUUCAGACUUACAGGUUGAGUCAUGUACUCUAUAUUUCUUCCAUGUCUCUUAUGUACUAAUUUAGGUGCCUUACAUACUCGGUACAUUAUUCGUACUGACGUCCCUUUUGCCUGAGGAUGUUGCGUUUCAUGCUCGCAGGUCUCGAUAAAUAGGUCGAGAGCCCUCCAAGUAGGCUAUCAGCUCAGCGGAAGAUGUUGGUGCGCUCCAUUUGCUUUGGAGUUGCUCGUUUGGUUAAUAUGAUUUAGACGUGUAUUGUUUGGCAUGGCGGGACUCUGUCCCGACGCUUAUGACAUUUAUGUAUUUUUAGAGACUUGUAGACAUAUGUCG